This 346-nucleotide unclassified non-coding RNA is filed under the name Hevea brasiliensis (rubber tree). Lineage: Eukaryota; Viridiplantae; Streptophyta; Magnoliopsida; Malpighiales; Euphorbiaceae. The record is from RNAcentral.
CUGGCACCGUGCAAGCAAAGGUGCCCCUGAACAGAUCUUGAACUUGAGCAAUGCAAGGGAAGAUCUCAGGAAGAAAGUUCAUUCUGUUAUAGACAAGUUUGCUGAACGUGGGCUUCGGUCAUUGGGUGUGGCUAGACAGCAAGUGCCUGAGAAAUCAAAGGAAAGUGCAGGUGGUCCAUGGGAGUUUGUUGGUCUGUUGAACCUCUUUGAUCCUCCUAGGCAUGAUAGUGCAGAAACUAUCCGCAGGGCUCUUAACCUUGGUGUGAAUGUCAAGAUGAUUACUGGUGAUCAGCUUGCCAUCGCAAAGGAGACCGGGCGAAGACUUGGAAUGGGAACAAACAUGUAU